RNAcentral lists this ribosomal RNA (320 nucleotides) under uncultured eukaryote. RNAcentral's name for it is "partial 18S ribosomal RNA". It matches the Rfam family "Eukaryotic small subunit ribosomal RNA", at positions 1470 to 1796 of the family's 1831-position model. The record is from RNAcentral.
CCAUUAGAUGUUCUGGGCUGCACGCGUGUUACAAUCGGGAGUACAACAAGAUUGCAAAUCCUAGUGGAUGAGUGGUUCUUCGAAAUUUUCUGAAGACUGGGAUAGUUGAUUGAAAUUAUUCAACUCAAACGAGGAAUUCCUUGUAAUUGUAAUUCAUUAUAUUGUAAUGAAUACGUCCCUGCCCUUUGUACACACCGCCCGUCGCUCCUACCGAUUGAACGAUCCGGUGAAUUAUUUGGAGUAGCUCUGGAAGUUGCAGAACUUCCUAUGUCACGAAAUUUUGUAAACCUUAUCGUUUAGAGGAAGGAAAAGUCGUAACA